CAGCCGCCGCGGUAAUACCGGCGGCCCGAGUGGCGGUCACUAUUAUUGGGCUUAAAGCGUCCGUAGCCGGGGUGGGAAGUCCUCCGGGAAAUCUGGCCGCUUAACGGUCAGAAUGCCGGAGGAUACUCCCAGCCUAGGGAGCGGGAGAGGCCGAGGGGAUUCCCGGAGUAGGGGUGAAAUCCUAUAAUCCCGGGAGGACCACCUGUGGCGAAGGCGCUCGGCUGGAACGCGUCCGACGGUGAGGGACGAAGGCCAGGGGAGCAAACCGGAUUAGAUACCCGGGUAGUCCUGGCUGUAAACGCUGCCUGCUUGAUGUUAGUCUGGCUCCGGGCCAGGCUAGUGUCGGAGAGAAGUUGUUAAGCAGGCUGCCUGGGGAGUACGGUCGCAAGACUGAAACUUAAAGGAAUUGGCGGG
Molecule: ribosomal RNA, 414 nt
Filed under: uncultured microorganism
Description: bacterial SSU rRNA
Rfam family: Archaeal small subunit ribosomal RNA
Source: RNAcentral